GCCGUGCGGCUGCGGCAUCGGCGGCACGUCAUCGAAACGAAACUUGUGCGGCUGGCAGUUGGUGCAACAGUGGACAGUGCGGCGAAGAUGAAUCGCUCAGCCUAGAACAGGAAUCAUCACAUCGACGGGUGCUUCGUUUUGACGUUGGUCUUGCUCUGCACGGAUCGUGUCUAUUUUCUUAGUCUACAUUCAGCAUCGUUUACAAGGCUCGGCAAGGCUGGCGUGGGUUCCGCAGUGCUCGGGCAGCAACGGGAACCAGCGUCGUGCUGAGAAGUUACGGAAGCAAUUUCUCUUGAGGCUUGCAUCACCGGCCGCGCGGCCGAUUGCACCCGCACAACCCGGCUGCGGCUCGCCUCCAGCUUCCGACCCCAUCGUUCCUGCUCAGUUGUGACAACCCUGUUUUGGUGCGCGACUUCAACGACUGUCAUGGUGAAGCAGGCCAAUAACAGGAGUGUGUGGCCUAUCGGCCACCGAUCUGUACCAACCAGACUGUACGGACCACCGAUUUCUUCUCCUUGCAUGUUCAGGUUGGUCCAAUACUCUCGUAAAAUUGUAAAG
Ixodes scapularis (black-legged tick) is the source of this 558-nucleotide long non-coding RNA. RefSeq lists it as uncharacterized. The record is from RefSeq and is a predicted model, not a curated record. The transcript is spliced from 3 exons. Lineage: Eukaryota; Metazoa; Arthropoda; Arachnida; Ixodida; Ixodidae.